This 429-nucleotide ribosomal RNA is filed under the name Acidobacteriota bacterium. RNAcentral's name for it is "Acidobacteria bacterium partial 16S ribosomal RNA". It matches the Rfam family "Bacterial small subunit ribosomal RNA", at positions 355 to 776 of the family's 1533-position model. Lineage: Bacteria; Pseudomonadati; Acidobacteriota. The record is from RNAcentral.
UGGGGAAUUUUGGACAAUGGGGGAAACCCUGAUCCAGCCAUCCCGCGUGUGCGAUGAAGGCCUUCGGGUUGUAAAGCACUUUUGGCAGGAAAGAAACGUCAUGGGUUAAUACCCCGUGAAACUGACGGUACCUGCAGAAUAAGCACCGGCUAACUACGUGCCAGCAGCCGCGGUAAUACGUAGGGUGCAAGCGUUAAUCGGAAUUACUGGGCGUAAAGCGUGCGCAGACGGUUCGGAAAGAAAGAUGUGAAAUCCCAGAGCUCAACUUUGGAACUGCAUUUUUAACUACCGGGCUAGAGUGUGUCAGAGGGAGGUGGAAUUCCGCGUGUCGCAGUGAAAUGCGUAUAUAUGCGGAGGAACACCGAUGGCGAAGGCAGCCUCCUGGGAUAACACUGACGCUCAUGCACGAAAGCGUGGGGAGCAAACAGG